GGCAGCGUAUCACAAACAGACACAGACUGCCCGGCGAGACAUCGGCUUCUACCGAAUUGACAUUUUGCGGCAAUCCAUAGCCCCCCAUGACCCCCGUAACCCCUUGGAGCCAGCGAUUGACUGGCAUAAAGCAUGCCUCACAUGUAAAUUCGAUUAAUGCAAAUGCCACUACAGCCAGCAAUUGUGCACAUAUAUAGUACGUAUAUAUCCCCGAUUCUCUGUCAGUGUGCGCAUAUAAUUAAAGCCACUUCCUCCACGAGCACAAGUCCGACUUGGAAACCCAACAAAGUCAGCCAAACCACACAGUUGAACUUCAAUGGUGAAUUUUUUGAAAUGAAGGCAAGUAUUCGAAACUCAAGAUAUAGAUGCUAUUUCGACGCAUUAACUGAUUGAAAGAGUCAUAACAGCUAUAAAAUAUCACAUGUCUUGUUCUAUCUGACUUUAGUAUGUAGCGAGUAAUUAGUGGUUGUGUUUGAAAAUCCGUCAUACAGAAUCUUGACUGUAGUUCCAAAGUGCGGAGAGUUACAGGCGGCGUCACCUUGUCGUCGUUUUCGCUGGCAUCUCGGGCCCAAUAGGAAAUUCAAAACCCGCCUUAGGUUGAUUUAUCAACAGCGGCAAAAAACAUUCUCAUGCAAAACGUGUAACAAUUUGUUGGCUUUACAUAAGAGGGCGACGGGCAGAAAUAGAACUCGUAAUCGUAAGCGUAAACAAACGCGAAAUCAAUUAAAAGCAAAUUAAAUUCAUCGGCAGCUGCUUGGCUAAUGGGAAAAAACAGCCAUGUGUGAUGUAAAAUAAUCCUCGGAUGUAAUUUAGAUACCUGUAAUUCUGGAUAUGGCCUGUUAUUUUUGGAUGUCGAGUUAAAGUACUAAUUGGAAUAGAAAGGCUGUGAUGCUUAGUAGAUUUUAAUUUCAGGCGGUUUGAGCACAUUUUAAACAUGAUAGCCAUUAACAAGCAUGACUUGAGUAGAACACGUAUAGUCUGACGGAUUUACUUUUCCUUAUCUAUAUCCAGUUGUUUGUUUAUACGGAUUUGGCCGUCAUGCACCUGACUUUCCCUCUAAUCUCCCAUUCACUCAAAAGUCGCUGAACAUGAUGAUGUUGCCUGACGUACACAGAGAGAUAUAUGUAUGUAUCU
Drosophila simulans is the source of this 1134-nucleotide long non-coding RNA. RefSeq lists it as uncharacterized. The transcript is spliced from 2 exons. The record is from RefSeq and is a predicted model, not a curated record. Lineage: Eukaryota; Metazoa; Arthropoda; Insecta; Diptera; Drosophilidae.